RNAcentral lists this long non-coding RNA (279 nucleotides) under Lathyrus oleraceus (garden pea). Its description in RNAcentral is "Pisum sativum (pea) long non-coding RNA (PSAT_LNC022928)". Lineage: Eukaryota; Viridiplantae; Streptophyta; Magnoliopsida; Fabales; Fabaceae. The record is from RNAcentral.
AUUAUUCCAAAAAAUAAAAAUAACUGAAAAAUAUUUAUUUAAAAAAAAUGGAAAUCGAAAAUAAAAAAUAAUUUCUAUUCUGAAAUUAUAAAAAAUCAUUUUUUUUAAAUUAUUUUUUUCUGAAAAUAAAAGUUUUUUUAUUCGGAAAAUUUGAAAAAAUAACCUUUUUGAAAAUUAAAAAAAUUAUCAAAAAAAAAUCUGAUUUUUUUUUUAAAAUAAUUUAAAAUAUAAAAUUAAUUUAUAAUGUGAUAAAACAUGAAAACAAACAAAUAUAAAAAU